UACGUAGGGGGCGAGCGUUGUCCGGAAUUACUGGGCGUAAAGCGCGCGUAGGCGGGAAGGGAAGUCGGGCGUGAAAGCCUCCGGCUCAACCGGAGCAGGUCGUUCGAAACUCCCUUUCUUGAGGGUCGAAGAGGAGAGUGGAAUUCCCGGUGUAGCGGUGAAAUGCGUAGAGAUCGGGAGGAACACCCAUGGCGAAGGCAGCUCUCUGGUCGGCCCCUGACGCUGAGGUGCGAAAGCGUGGGGAGCGAACGGG
RNAcentral lists this ribosomal RNA (253 nucleotides) under uncultured bacterium. Its description in RNAcentral is "partial 16S ribosomal RNA". It matches the Rfam family "Bacterial small subunit ribosomal RNA", at positions 524 to 776 of the family's 1533-position model. The record is from RNAcentral.